Molecule: long non-coding RNA, 798 nt
Organism: Herpailurus yagouaroundi (jaguarundi)
Lineage: Eukaryota; Metazoa; Chordata; Mammalia; Carnivora; Felidae
Exons: 3
Source: RefSeq, a predicted model, not a curated record
AUCACAGUCAAUCUGCCCUCUGUCAACUACAAUAUUACACAAGGUUGCAGAUGUAAAUGUCAGUGGUCGAAAGGAAAAAUAGUCCUGGGUUUAAACUGGCAGCUCAAGAGUGGAGAAGAAAUGUGGAAAAUACAUAGUAAAUGUGGAAUCCUCUAGAAACCAGCCUGUGAUUGGUCCUGGUAGCCACACUCAAGUCCAAGUGAUCAGAAACUCACAAUUCAGUAUGUCAGUUUCCAUCAUCAACUGAUGUCACUGAUGAUGCUGGCACAUAUGUUGCUCCUACCUUUGUCAACCUGGGGACUCCUGGACGCUCACAAUAUCCAAAGAGAGACUUUCAUCAUGGACAGGCUUCCUUUAGCCAAUGCCUGGACCCUGUGGUGCAAGGUGACAUUUGGUGACUGCUGGUGCCCUUAUUCCCUGGACAUCCGAACUGGGGCUUCCUUCCUAAAACUGAAGCCCGCAUUUCCUAGCAGUGAGACCUACUCCGUUCUUUUCAAAGAUGUGAGUUGUGUUGUGCCUCUCUCCUGCUGCUCCCGAGCUCAGUUACGGAAGGGAAUGACAGCGAGCUAAUCACAGAUUUUAAAAUUGAGCAAGUGUCAGGAAUGCACCAAGUAUAUUAUAUACCUUAUUAUCUUCUUUAAUCCUUACACUUAUCCUUGGAUACAGGUAUACCUCUUCUUGUGAAGAAAUAGAGGCUUAGGACAUUAAGGAAAUUGCCAGGUAUUAGCCUGUUUAUAAGAGUCACAGAUGAAAGUCAACCAGGAAUCUUUAGAAUCCAAAGCUCUUAAUCACUGUGCU